CUCUGAAACCAAUAAAAACAUUUAAAAACAAAAGAUGGCCAAGCAAACCCAGAAGAAGAAAAAAAAGUAGGAGGAACUCUGUUAAAAUAGUGACAGUUCCUGUUUCUGGUUGAAAUUUUAGAAAGACUUUAUGCUUCAAACUUGUACUGAACAGAUUUUUCACAAUUAGAAUAUAUUUUCUAAUACAAAAUGUUUUUCUCUUUUUUAGUUGUGGAAAUAGUACAGAGGGGUCCUGUACCCUUGGCCCAGUUUCCCCCAAUGGGAACAUUGGCACAACUAAUGCAACAUCAAAGCAGGAAGUGGAUUUUGGUACAACCACGGAUCUUAUUCAGGAGCUGUGUCCUUGGAUUGCACUGCGGGGACUUCCUGUAGAAGGUCUUUAAUUGCCAAACACAGAGGCAGAGCCUUCUCCUUCACAAGAUGGCACGGGGCUGCCAGGGAAUUCGUGUUCCCAGGCCAGUGGGUGACUGUGGCCCUGCCAUUCGGGAUUGAGGCUCCUUCCAGUUCAUUUCUCUACGAUGAAGGCAGCAGUUCUCAAAAUGGUUCCUACCCCAGGAGGAACUUGGAGCACAAAGCCCAGAGGUGCAGAAACUGAUCUGUAACCAUGAGGACAGAAAGCAUAUGCUGACAGUGGUGGGGUAGAAAGAUGAGCGAGUCUGCAUCCUAGAUGACCCGGUGACGCCGGCACCCCAUCCUGAGCUGGGACCUUUGGACCUCUCAGCACGUCUCUGUCUCCAUCCGUUGGGCUGUCUAUUCUUGCAGCUCUGUGUGGCCUUCCACAAUUGAUGAGGAACCCCUGGUAAUUAAACCCCAAGAUUGUUGGCUCCUUUGAUUCCAACAGCCCCUCUGUUCAAACUGCAGGAUCAGAUGAGCUACUCUCAAGGCUACAUUCUUGCAUCCUCCUCCUCCCUGCUGUAUUCACAACUCAGGGGUAAGUCCCACCAAGGAGUCUCUAAUUAGUAGAGUUUCCCUAUCCCUCCUUUCAAACAAGCCUCUUUUGAACUCUUCAUAACUUUUUUUCUAAGCAUGUUUUACAUUCUUGGGGAAGAUACUGAUAAGAUACCUCCCUAGAACAUCUGCCAGACUGCCUCCUGGAAAGCAAACUGUAACAUUUCAAGACAAUCCCCGGCAUUUGCUCAACUCAAACACUUAUGAUACCACUUUUGUCUCAGGAGCUCAGCCAUCACCAGAGAACCACAGGCACCGUUGCACACCCCACCUACCACGGCUCUUUAUUCAGUCCCACUCAGACUCACACCUCCAACUUCAGGACUCUGAUGAUUUAUUUUACAGAUCAUUGACGGUCCAGACCAAGGGCUAUGGGGAGCCCAGACGUUGGGUUGUAGAAACUUCUGGCUCCAUGCAGAGAGGGACCCUACCCCUGCUCUGAGUCAUGCUCUGUGUCCUCAUAGGCUGAGUGGCGCCUUCACAGUGCUGGUGGUGGUGGGAGGCAUGGGGCCUGUGGGGAAGGAGCCUGUGGGUGAACCCAACAGGGGCCCGGGGAAAGGCAUCAGGUGGCUGACAGGCCCUGACAGCACCACGGGGCCCGGGCCUCGGUAGAGAUGGGCAGUACCAGGUGGGCCCAAUCUCAAGCCUGAGGCCACUUCCCCACAAUUCCCACCAUCGCUGCCCCCAGCCACCACCAUGAAGCCACCAGCCGGAGCCUCAGCUGGUCCUGUGCCUCCCAGGCUCCACACUGGCUUCUUUUCUUUCUGUGAUGGCCUGGGUUUUCUAGACUUUAUACCACCCUUCUGCACGGUCCGUGGUUGGUUCACCUGAUGAAAGAGAGGCCAUGAGUGUUCCCCAACCUCAGACUUUUGCCUCUGUGUCUCCAGCAGGGACACCCUUUCCACCCCACUCCUUAAGAGUCGGGAACUGGGUCAAGGACUAGGGGAGCAGGCCCCAGCUGUGGCACAGAUAAUGCCCUAAGGAGUCAUGAGCUUGUGAGGCCCUAAGCAAUGGAAAGGCUGAGGGAGCCUCUAGCCAUAGGACUAGCUGAUGGCUGCAGGGGAGGAGGAAGGAAAUGAGAAAUGGAGGAGAGAGAAGGGAGCAGGAGGGAAAAGACAGGCAGGGAGGAGAUGAAGGUGCAGAGAAGA
This is a long non-coding RNA of Myotis myotis, 2096 nucleotides long. RefSeq lists it as uncharacterized. The record is from RefSeq and is a predicted model, not a curated record. Lineage: Eukaryota; Metazoa; Chordata; Mammalia; Chiroptera; Vespertilionidae. The transcript has 5 exons.